ACCACAUAUCAGUCAACUAAGGUAGGACAGACAACCACAUAUCAGUCAACUAAGGUAGGAUAGACAACCACAUAUCAGUCAACUAAGGUAGGACAGACAACCACAUUUCAGUCAACUAAGGUAGGAUAGACAACCACAUCAGUCAACUAAAGGUAGGACAGACAACCACAUACAGUCCAUUUGCUAGUCAUUUACAGAACACAUGCAUAACCGGAAGAACAGAAAGCAGGGC
Oncorhynchus mykiss (rainbow trout) is the source of this 232-nucleotide non-coding RNA. Lineage: Eukaryota; Metazoa; Chordata; Actinopteri; Salmoniformes; Salmonidae. The record is from RefSeq and is a predicted model, not a curated record.